RNAcentral lists this ribosomal RNA (1372 nucleotides) under uncultured bacterium. RNAcentral's name for it is "bacterial SSU rRNA". It matches the Rfam family "Bacterial small subunit ribosomal RNA", at positions 28 to 1381 of the family's 1533-position model. The record is from RNAcentral.
GAUGAACGCUGGCGGCGUGCCUAAUACAUGCAAGUCGAGCGAACGGACGAGAAGCUUGCUUCUCUGAUGUUAGCGGCGGACGGGUGAGUAACACGUGGAUAACCUACCUAUAAGACUGGGAUAACUUCGGGAAACCGGAGCUAAUACCGGAUAAUAUUUUGAACCGCAUGGUUCAAAAGUGAAAGACGGUCUUGCUGUCACUUAUAGAUGGAUCCGCGCUGCAUUAGCUAGUUGGUAAGGUAACGGCUUACCAAGGCAACGAUGCAUAGCCGACCUGAGAGGGUGAUCGGCCACACUGGAACUGAGACACGGUCCAGACUCCUACGGGAGGCAGCAGUAGGGAAUCUUCCGCAAUGGGCGAAAGCCUGACGGAAGCACGCCGCGUGAGUGAUGAAGGUCUUCGGAUCGUAAAACUCUGUUAUUAGGGAAGAACAUAUGUGUAAGUAACUGUGCACAUCUUGACGGUACCUAAUCAGAAAGCCACGGCUAACUACGUGCCAGCAGCCGCGGUAAUACGUAGGUGGCAAGCGUUAUCCGGAAUUAUUGGGCGUAAAGCGCGCGUAGGCGGUUUUUUAAGUCUGAUGUGAAAGCCCACGGCUCAACCGUGGAGGGUCAUUGGAAACUGGAAAACUUGGGUGCAGAAGAGGAAAGUGGAAUUCCAUGUGUAGCGGUGAAAUGCGCAGAGAUAUGGAGGAACACCAGUGGCGAAGGCGACUUUCUGGUCUGUAACUGACGCUGAUGUGCGAAAGCGUGGGGAUCAAACAGGAUUAGAUACCCUGGUAGUCCACGCCGUAAACGAUGAGUGCUAAGUGUUAGGGGGUUUCCGCCCCUUAGUGCUGCAGCUAACGCAUUAAGCACUCCGCCUGGGGAGUACGACCGCAAGGUUGAAACUCAAAGGAAUUGACGGGGACCCGCACAAGCGGUGGAGCAUGUGGUUUAAUUCGAAGCAACGCGAAGAACCUUACCAAAUCUUGACAUCCUUUGACAACUCUAGAGAUAGAGCCUUCCCCUUCGGGGGACAAAGUGACAGGUGGUGCAUGGUUGUCGUCAGCUCGUGUCGUGAGAUGUUGGGUUAAGUCCCGCAACGAGCGCAACCCUUAAGCUUAGUUGCCAUCAUUAAGUUGGGCACUCUAAGUUGACUGCCGGUGACAAACCGGAGGAAGGUGGGGAUGACGUCAAAUCAUCAUGCCCCUUAUGAUUUGGGCUACACACGUGCUACAAUGGACAAUACAAAGGGCAGCGAAACCGCGAGGUCAAGCAAAUCCCAUAAAGUUGUUCUCAGUUCGGAUUGUAGUCUGCAACUCGACUACAUGAAGCUGGAAUCGCUAGUAAUCGUAGAUCAGCAUGCUACGGUGAAUACGUUCCCGGGUCU